RNAcentral lists this long non-coding RNA (855 nucleotides) under Cyanistes caeruleus (blue tit). Its description in RNAcentral is "lncRNA (ENSCCEG00000003777.1)". The record is from RNAcentral. Lineage: Eukaryota; Metazoa; Chordata; Aves; Passeriformes; Paridae.
CUGAGUUGGAAGGGACUUUCAAGAUCAUUUAGUCCUGAAACCCCUUCCAUUUCCAGGGACACAUUCCAAUAGACCAGGUUGCUCAAAGUCCUGUCCAUCUCAGCACUAUUUAGAACCAAACUUUUCUUCUGAGUGGGUAGGUGCCUCCUUCAACUACAGCAGUAUCCUGUCAUAGACACCUGUGGAAGUUUUGGGGCUCUCCAAACCAUAGCAAGCACCUCACCAGGGGUGCCCAGGCUGUUCUAAAUCGGUAAAUAGACACCUCUACUUCUGCUGGAGACACAACCAUGGCUCUGAGUUAACUGAGAAAAGGCACAAUGCACACAGUAGGAAAAUAUUCAGCUUAGUGGUUUUGGCUUAAGCAGAGAGCAUUUCUCUCAUGCCAAUAGCCUUUCAGAGCUGACUUCAGCAGGCACCUCCUGGUUGUACCUCAACAUGAGCUUCAGCUCAGGGAAAAACUCUCUAGGGGAAUAAAGAAGGCAUUCAGCCCCACCAGCAGCUGGUAAAGUUCACAUCAUGAACUGCCUCAACCCGCCUGCUCUGGCCUCCCUGGGUUGUAAAUUGGCAAGAGCUGAGACAGUGGUGACGAACGAUGACCACAAUGAACAGGCACUUCUUACUUUCUUAUGCUUGACAAAGUACCUACUCACCAGCCACAUACCCAUGAGGAAGGGACUUUUAAUAAGUUUCUCAGAAAGAAAUAUACUCCUGCAGAUUCAUUAAACAAAUAUUACUCUCUCCUUUUGAUUUCUUUUUACUCCCUUUGAAAUAUGUGGGAAUUUGCCAAAAGCAGGGAAACUUUAGGUGGGACCAUGCUUUCCUUCCCUGAAUGCCCUCAGGAAAAAUUACUCAGGG